Long non-coding RNA from Cygnus olor (mute swan), 3410 nucleotides. RefSeq lists it as uncharacterized. The transcript has 3 exons. The record is from RefSeq and is a predicted model, not a curated record. NCBI's taxonomy places the organism in Eukaryota, Metazoa, Chordata, Aves, Anseriformes, Anatidae.
CCCAGCCCAAAGCAGCGGGCCACCAAUCAGCGAGCGUGCGAAGGGAACGUGGCUUGAACAGCAUGCAGCCAAUCAGAGAGGCACUGUGAGGUGAGCGCUCCCUCCCCGCCACAAAAUGUCGGCCAUCACAAAAUGGUGGCCGUCACAAAAUGUCGGCCCCCAGUGUGUUGCACGUGGAGGGACUUCCUGUUUCCAUGGACCACUGCAUAAGCUAAACGCAUAGGCCGGUUUGGGCUGCAUGGCACAGGCUGUCAUUGCAUGCUUCUUUUCAGGAGCCAUAUACACUGCUGGGUCUUAUCCACAGAUUCAGCCGUUUGCCCCUUGCUUUUUUGACUUUAUUGCUUAAAACAAUACUGCACACGUGCAGUACUGUUUCUGUGUUUUUAGAAAUGCAAAUAUGCAUAUCCGAUUACAGGUAAGCAAAAAAUGUAUACGUGUAUAUAAAUAGUGUGUCUGUGUAGAAAACCACUGUAUAUAUUUACACAUAUUUGCAUUUAUUUGUGGAUAUACAUACAAGUGUCUGUACACACACACACUGCACGUAUCGUAGAUAGGUAUUUUCACAUUUAGCGCUUCCCGGCCGAAAGGCAGCGGGCCACCAAUCAGUGGGUGAACACAGGGCACGUGGCUCGAACAGCACACAGCCAAUCAGAGAGGCACUGUGAGAUGAGCGCUCCCUCCCCGCCACAAAAUGUCGGCCCCCAGUGUGUUGCACGUGGAGGGAUUUCUUGUUCCCAUGGCAACUGCAUAAGCCAGACACAUAGGCCGGUUUGGGCUGCCAGUCACAAGAGAAGGCGUAACUGGGAGGAGGCAGGGGGGUUCUGCCUGCUGGAGGGUAAGACUGCUGAAAGGUUCUUGGAAGCCUGCGAGCAGUGACAGAGGCUGCUGGUGGCCUGCUGCAAGAGGUGUCUCGGUAACCCGCCCAAGCUUCUGGCUGAGCCAAGUCGUCUACAGUCAUCUCCAGGCAUUCGGGGUGGUUUCUGUCAAGUGAGUUUCAAGACGAGCCUGAGGAAUGUCUCUUGUAAGGCAAAGCCAAGGCUGCCAAAUGCCCCAUUUGUGGAGCAUGUUGCUGUCUGUGGAGCAUGUUCAGCUCGCUACAGAAUAAGAAUGCUUAGCACAGAAAGGAUUCCUUGCUUCCAAGCGGUGUUGAUCCUGUGUGGCUGGUGGCAAGGAGGACAGUGCUGGGAGCUCGAAGUAGUGCCUUCGACAGCUCUGCUCGUCAAUGCCAACGGCACUUCUGUUCCUUGGCAAAAGGAGCUGCACUUCCUUCUCCCAGAAGUGUUGUUGCAGAAGUUUGGCAGUGCAAGUGAGGACUUUUUCCUGCAAAUGCAAGGCAGUCUUGGCAGCAGCAGUUGAAAUUGUUUCUCAGGUGGUGCUACAGAGAGACGGACGUGCUAUGCUGGCCCUUUGCUGCGUUCCAGAGCUCUGCCGCUGCCAAUGUACUUGGGCAGUGGGGAUCUAACAGCAGAAGAGCACUCUUUGGCCAGCAUCUGGUGGCUGUAGGGAAGAUGGCGCACUGUGCAAGCAGAUCCAGUAGAGAAGGCCUGGUGAGGGAGUAUCUGUCCCUCUGGCUUUGUCAGAGAGGCAGCAUUCUCAGGAGAGAUACCAUGGACCUCAGGAGAUGGGUGAUUUAGUUGUUUUCCUCCUGGCACACUGUCGUUGGGCUAAGAAUACUAAAUACUAAAUACUAUUUAAUAUAAUAUUAAAUACUAAUACUAAAUACUGUCGUUGGGCUACGAAGGUUCUUUGACAGUUUCCUGCCACUGAGUUUUCCAAAAGUCUGGCUGUUUUAUUUUUUAUUUUUCCCUCAUGUUAUGCAAUUUUUGCAGUACAGUCAUCCUGGGGAAUGGUUUUAAAUUAAAAGAGGGGAGAUUUAGAUUAGAGGCUAGGAGGAAAUUCUUCACUUAGAGGGUGGUGAGGCACUGGAACAGGUUGCCCGGGGAGGUUGUGGAUGCUCCACCCCUGGAGGUGUUCAAGACCAGGUUGGAUGAGGCCCUGAGCAACCUGAUCUAGUGGGUGGCAUGCCUGCCUAUGGCAGGGGGAUUGGAACAAGAUGAUCUUUGAGGUCCCUUCCAACCCGAGCCUUUCUAUGGUUCUAUGAUUCUGUGAUUAACCGUGUGUUUGGCCUGAAUGACCCCAAAGCACCGAGGAUCUCUGUUUUUACCGCUGUACUUCAGUGCACAAAUAGGGCCUCUCUUAGGUAAAUACUAGCAAGGCUUCCCUCUGGGUGAGGUACUUGACAAGGCAGGGGAACAGUUUUUAAUCAUGCAGAUUUCCAUGAAUUCUGGCCUCCUAAAUUUCAGCAGUGGAGCCAGCUGUGGACUGACAUGCUUGUGGCAGAGCCAUUCUCCUUGUUAGAUCUUACCUCUUGAGCUCAAAAUUGUUUUUGUUACUUUGGUUCUUUAGACUAGCUUUCAAGAGCUACAGCUUAUGAGUGUAUCCUUUGAUUACUCAGUUUAGACUAACAUAUACCAGUUUCAUUUUUUCAUACUGCUUUUUGACAUAUGAAAGCAAACUUUAUUACGCUAAAUAACAGAGGACCAGGGCACAAAGUGGCUAUUUCGCACAUCAUCUUGUAAUUGUAGAUUAACUUGAAGGAGAAAAGAAGGUGGUCUCUUUUAGGUGUAGUUAAUAUAGCCAAGCAUAUUUUUACAUGUUAGUAAAAAAUAAUAAUUUGUCAAAGUCUUUCAACAGAAGAAGGAGACUGUGGCACUUAGGUAUGACAAACAACUUGUUCCUAGCUAUAUUUAGCAAAGUAAAAAUUCAUCUGGAAGAAGUCUCAGAUAUUGGAAAUUUGUUAAAGAGUAAUCAUAGAAUCAUAGAAUACCCUGAGUUGGAAGGACCCACAAGAAUCCACACAGGACCACCCAAUAAGCAGACCCUAUGUGAGAGUGCUGUCCAAAUGCUUCUUGAACUCCAGCAGACUCAGUGCUGUGACCAUGCCUUGGGGAGCCUGUUCCAGUGCCCGACCACCCUCUCGGUGAAGAAUCUUUUCCUAACACCCAGCCUGAACCUCCCCUGUCACAGCUCCAUGCCGUUCCCUCGGGUCCUGUCGCUGUCCCCAGAGAGCAGAGAUCAGCGCCUGCCUCACUGCUCCCCCUUGGGUGGAAAUCGGAGGCUACGAUGAGGUCUUCCCUCAGCCUCCUCUGCUGUAGGCUGAACAAACCAAGUGACUUCAACUGCUCCUCAUACAUCUUGCCCUCUACACCCUUCAUCGUCUGCAUAGCCAUCCUUUGGACACUCUCUGAUAGGUUUGAGUCCUUUUUAUAUUGGGGUGCCCAAACCCACAUAUGAUACUCAAGCGGAGUCUGCACCAGCAGAGAUUAGAGCGGCACAAUCCCUUCCCGCAACAUUCUGAUUGUGAAUUCUGAUGGUGAAUCUGGGUGGCAACAUUGCCAGUUGUCUGCUUG